AGUGAACGCUGGCGGUAGGCCUAACACAUGCAAGUCGAACGGCAGCACAGUAAGAGCUUGCUCUUACGGGUGGCGAGUGGCGGACGGGUGAGGAAUACAUCGGAAUCUACUUUUUCGUGGGGGAUAACGUAGGGAAACUUACGCUAAUACCGCAUACGACCUACGGUUGAAAGCAGGGGAUCUUCGGACCUUGCGCGAUUGAAUGAGCCGAUGUCGGAUUAGCUAGUUGGCGGGGUAAAGGCUCACCAAGGCGACGAUCCGUAGCUGGUCUGAGAGGAUGAUCAGCCACACUGGAACUGAGACACGGUCCAGACUCCUACGGGAGGCAGCAGUGGGGAAUAUUGGACAAUGGGCGCAAGCCUGAUCCAGCCAUACCGCGUGGGUGAAGAAGGCCUUCGGGUUGUAAAGCCCUUUUGUUGGGAAAGAAAAGCAGCAGGUUAAUACCCCGCUGUUCUGACGGUACCCAAAGAAUAAGCACCGGCUAACUUCGUG
This 492-nucleotide ribosomal RNA is filed under the name uncultured bacterium. Its description in RNAcentral is "partial 16S ribosomal RNA". It matches the Rfam family "Bacterial small subunit ribosomal RNA", at positions 29 to 507 of the family's 1533-position model. The record is from RNAcentral.